This 253-nucleotide ribosomal RNA is filed under the name uncultured bacterium. RNAcentral's name for it is "partial 16S ribosomal RNA". It matches the Rfam family "Bacterial small subunit ribosomal RNA", at positions 524 to 776 of the family's 1533-position model. The record is from RNAcentral.
UACAGAGGGUGCGAGCGUUGUCCGGAAUUACUGGGCGUAAAGGGCGCGUAGGCGGCGUUGCAAGUCGGUGGUGAAAGCUCGUCGCUUAACGACGAGUCGGCCAUCGAAACUGCAGGGCUCGAGCACUGUAGGGGCUAAUGGAAUUCCGGGUGUAGCGGUGGAAUGCGUAGAGAUCCGGAAGAACACCAGUGGCGAAGGCGGUUAGCUGGGCAGUUGCUGACACUGAUGCGCGACAGCGUGGGGAGCAACCAGG